GGGAACUCGGAGCUUCACUCCAAACCCCUGUGACAUACCUAUACGUUGCCUCGGCGGAUCAGCCCGCGCCCCGUAAAACGGGACGGCCCGCCCGAGGACCCCUAAACUCUGUUUUUAGUGGAACUUCUGAGUAAAACAAACAAAUAAAUCAAAACUUUCAACAACGGAUCUCUUGGUUCUGGCAUCGAUGAAGAACGCAGCAAAAUGCGAUAAGUAAUGUGAAUUGCAGAAUUCAGUGAAUCAUCGAAUCUUUGAACGCACAUUGCGCCCGCCAGUAUUCUGGCGGGCAUGCCUGUUCGAGCGUCAUUUCAACCCUCAAGCUCAGCUUGGUGUUGGGACUCGCGGUAACCCGCGUUCCCCAAAUCGAUUGGCGGUCACGUCGAGCUUCCAUAGCGUAGUAAUCAUACACCUCGUUACUGGUAAUCGUCGCGGCCACGCCGUUAAACCCCAACUUCUGAAUGUUGACCUCGGAUCAGGUAGGAAUACCCGCUGAACUUAAGCAUAUCAAGCUGCUGGCGCGA
Molecule: ribosomal RNA, 521 nt
Filed under: uncultured Fusarium
Lineage: Eukaryota; Fungi; Ascomycota; Sordariomycetes; Hypocreales; Nectriaceae
Description: eukaryotic LSU rRNA
Rfam family: 5.8S ribosomal RNA (bases 153-306)
Source: RNAcentral